AUUAAUUUAGGAAGCUUUCCAACUCUAUCUAGAAUUUAUUUAUGUUUUCCUAUUAUAUCUAGGAUUAGGUUAAUUCCCUACUUCAUCUAUAUUUUACUAAUGUAUUUAGGCUUAAUUAAACUUCCUAUCUAGUAGAGUUAUUUUUCUAUUAGGUUUAGAAACCUAAAAACUCUAUAAACACACUAAAAUCUUUAUAUUUCAGUUUAACUUUUCAGCAAUAAAAUUCCAGCAGAGUAUAUUCUCUCCAUUUUCGCUCGUAUGGAGUGUGUUCUAUUUGAGCUGCACACUGCAUCACCGAUAGCCUUCUAUUUUGUCCACAAAGCCCUAUACACCUUCCAGCCUGUAUCAAUAAAGAACGACACCCCAGCCCAUUUCAACGGCCUUCUUUAAACCUAAACCUAAAACAUAAGAUUUCGUUUCCCCUAUGCCAUCUGCCUCUGCACUUAUACCACCCCCCACCCCCUUUCCUUCCUUCGCAUCGACAUUGUUGCUCCCUAAAAUUGAGCCACCACCUUUCCCUCCCUUCAGCUUCCGUCGGUCCGUCAUUUCCUUCCUUGGAGCCAUAAUCAUUGGUUAACCUUGAGCCAAUGUUGUUGCUUCUCCGCUCUCUGCCUCUCCUUGUGCCUGUGACGCUGUUCAGAUUCUUUAUCUCCUUCCUCGUUUUUCUGCCUUGAUGACGAGAUGUCGCAGCCUCUAGCCUCUUCCUCAACCUCAACCUAGAUGUUACCCUUGACCUCAGCCUCGAUGACAACAAUCGGGAGCAAUGGAGGCACUAGGCACCCACAUGCUGAUGCAAUGAUGCAGACCUAGACCAGUGGAGGUGUGGAGCAGCGGGGGCACACAGCGCAGUCAUUAGAUUUUCUUCCUUUUUUUUUGUUAUAUAUGAAAAAAUUAUAGCUUUGAUUCAUUUUACUGAUUUUGUGUUUUGUGGAUUUAUUUUGUUAUUAAGUUGCCAAGUGAAAUUGAUUACUGUGCUUGUAUCAUGCUUUCAAAUAACGGCCAUUACGUUAUUUAUAGAUUUUGGAAAAGCCCGUUACAGAUACACCGUUAUUUACAAGCAAAUCUAGAGUUGCAACUGCAAUGGCCGUUACUUUAAUUAUUCCUCUGCUGCAAUCACAUGGAAACAAUGUUAUUUUACUUCUCUUUUCU
Molecule: unclassified non-coding RNA, 1149 nt
Filed under: Hevea brasiliensis (rubber tree)
Lineage: Eukaryota; Viridiplantae; Streptophyta; Magnoliopsida; Malpighiales; Euphorbiaceae
Source: RNAcentral